This 57-nucleotide transfer RNA is filed under the name Camelus bactrianus (Bactrian camel). It matches the Rfam family "tRNA", at positions 8 to 63 of the family's 71-position model. Rfam says of the family: Transfer RNA (tRNA) molecules are approximately 80 nucleotides in length. RNAcentral also lists the same sequence under 2 other names. Lineage: Eukaryota; Metazoa; Chordata; Mammalia; Artiodactyla; Camelidae. The record is from Rfam by way of RNAcentral.
UAGCUCAGUGGUAAAGUGUAUGCCUAGCAUGCAUGAGGUCCUGGGUUCAAUUCUCAG